GACGAACGCUGGCGGCGUGCUUAACACAUGCAAGUCGAACGAAGAGCGACGGAAGCUUGCUUCUAUCACUCUUAGUGGCGAACGGGUGAGUAACGCGUAAUCAACCUGCCCUUCGGAGGGGGACAACAGUUGGAAACGACUGCUAAUACCGCAUACGAUCUAACCUCGGCAUCGAGGAUAGAUGAAAGGUGGCCUCUACAUGUAAGCUAUCACUGAAGGAGGGGUUUGCGUCUGAUUAGCUAGUUGGAGGGGUAACGGCCCACCCAGGCGAUGAUCAGUAGGCGGUCUGAGAGGAUGAACGGCCACAUUGGGACUGAGACACGGCCCAGACUCCUACGGGAGGCAGCAGGGGGGAAUCUUCCGCAAUGGACGAAAGUCUGACGGAGCAACGCCGCGUGAGUGAUGACGGCCUUCGGGUUGUAAAGCUCCGUUAAUCGGGACGAAAGGCCUUCUUGCGAAUAGUGAGAAGGAUUGACGGUACCGGAAUAGAAAGCCACGGCUAACUACGUG
Molecule: ribosomal RNA, 510 nt
Filed under: uncultured bacterium
Lineage: Bacteria
Description: partial 16S ribosomal RNA
Rfam family: Bacterial small subunit ribosomal RNA
Source: RNAcentral